RNAcentral lists this ribosomal RNA (498 nucleotides) under uncultured bacterium. Its description in RNAcentral is "partial 16S ribosomal RNA". It matches the Rfam family "Bacterial small subunit ribosomal RNA", at positions 30 to 523 of the family's 1533-position model. The record is from RNAcentral.
AUUGAACGCUGGCGGCAUGCCUUACACAUGCAAGUCGAACGGUAACAGGUCUUCGGAUGCUGACGAGUGGCGAGCGGGUGAGUAAUACAUCGGAACGUGCCUAGUAGUGGGGGAUAACUACUCGAAAGAGUGGCUAAUACCGCCUGAGAUCUACGGAUGAAAGCAGGGGAUCGCAAGACCUUGUGCUACUAGAGCGGCCGAUGGCAGAUUAGGUAGUUGGUGGGAUAAAAGCUUACCAAGGCGACGAUCUGUAGCUGGUCUGAGAGGACGAUCAGCCACACUGGGACUGAGACACGGCCCAGACUCCUACGGGAGGCAGCAGUGGGGAAUUUUGGACAAUGGGCGAAAGCCUGAUCCAGCAAUGCCGCGUGCAGGAUGAAGGCCUUCGGGUUGUAAACUGCUUUUGUACGGAACGAAAAGCCCUGGGUUAAUACCCUGGGGUCAUGACGGUACCGUAAGAAUAAGCACCGGCUAACUACGUGCCAGCCGCCGCAGUAA